This is a non-coding RNA of Callorhinus ursinus (northern fur seal), 1130 nucleotides long. NCBI's taxonomy places the organism in Eukaryota, Metazoa, Chordata, Mammalia, Carnivora, Otariidae. The record is from RefSeq and is a predicted model, not a curated record.
AGCUGGCUUUCAUCCAGCGACCCUCAGGCAAAUCACGUUUCUCUACAAUGUAGCCUGUAAUCAUACUUCCACCAUCAUAAGCAGAUGAUAGCCAAUGACUUUGCUACCUCCAUCACUAACUGGCUCAUUCCACUGUACUUCCAUGCUGUCCUUGGAGGAGAGCGUCACAAAUGGUGUGCCAGGAGGACCAGGAACUUUGAAUGGAUACUGGGCUAUAAUAGGCUCUGAAUUGAGGUUCAGACUGUACAGGUUCUCCUUUCCCAUACUGGUUUACAGCUGAGACCCGGAAGAGGUACUCAUUUCCUUGGAUAAGUUUGGUGGCCACAUGCCUGCAAGACUGAAUAUCUUCAGCAACCACUGUCCAUAAAAGUCGACUGGUUUCUCUCUUUUCAAGAACAUAGGACUUAAUUGGUGAGCCACCAUCCUCCAAUGGAGGUGUCCAUACCAACUCGACUUUGGAAGGGGCUUGCCAAGAAUGCUAAUGGCACUCAAAACAAUGGUAUCUCCUGCUUUAAUUGUCAGCCCAUCUUUUAUUGUGGGAUCAAGGACAAUGGUUGGUGCCUCUGCAAAGAAAAAAAAAAAUUAAUCGGCAAAGGAAGGAGGCUUAAUUUGCUUUUUUUUUUAUGGGCAUGAAAAAGUAAAAUAGACCUACCAUAUUCAUCCUGGCAAAUAAUGGUUCCUGUGCUUUCUGAUGGAGCACUGAUAGCACCUGCUGUAUUCUUCGCUCUAACUCUGAAUUCAUAUUUUCCACCUUCAACAAGAAAACAUACCUGGGCUUUUCUUUGUACAACGACUUACCAAUUGGAUCAAGUGCCACAACUGGCUCUGAUGGCAGGCUUGGCUUGCCUACUCCUGCUAAAUUGAUUGCCAUGACUCGGAAUUCGUACUCAAGACCUUCAGUCAAUCCUGUCACUUUGAAGUCUUUCAUCCUAAUAGGAGUCUUGUUAGCUCUCUUCCACAAAAGGCUGUUCCUUUCCUUGAACUCGAUAUGAUACCCUACAAAAAAAAGACCCAGUGAAUUUGUCAAUUCAGGUAGAAAAUACAAAUGCCAAUCUGGUUUUUAAGUACAUGUUUUUGCCCAAAUGGUUUAUAUGUGGACAUAAUAUGGAAUAAAUAGUCAUUCUUGCUAA